RNAcentral lists this ribosomal RNA (440 nucleotides) under uncultured bacterium. RNAcentral describes it as "partial 16S ribosomal RNA". It matches the Rfam family "Bacterial small subunit ribosomal RNA", at positions 338 to 795 of the family's 1533-position model. The record is from RNAcentral.
CCUACGGGAGGCAGCAGUGGGGAAUAUUGCACAAUGGGGGAAACCCUGAUGCAGCGACGCCGCGUGAGUGAAGAAGUAUUUCGGUAUGUAAAGCCCUAUCAGGAGGGAAGAAAAUGACGGUACCUGAUGAAGAAGCCCCGGCUAACUACGUGCCAGCAGCCGCGGUAAUACGUAGGGGGCAAGCGUUAUUCGGAUUUACUGGGCGUAAAGGGUGCGUAGGCGGUAGUAUAAGUCUGGAGUGAAAUGCCGGGGCUUAACCCCGGAACUGCUUUGGAAACUAUGCAGCUAGAGUGCGGGAGAGGUAAGUGGAAUUCCUAGUGUAGCGGUGAAAUGCGUAGAUAUUAGGAGGAACACUAGUGGCGAAGGCGGCUUACUGGACUGUAACUGACGUUGAUGCUCGAAAGCGUGGGGAGCAAACAGGAUUAGAUACCCGAGUAGUC